CAGGCCUAACACAUGCAAGUCGAGCGGUAGAGAGAAGCUUGCUUCUCUUGAGAGCGGCGGACGGGUGAGUAAUGCCUAGGAAUCUGCCUGGUAGUGGGGGAUAACGUUCGGAAACGGACGCUAAUACCGCAUACGUCCUACGGGAGAAAGCAGGGGACCUUCGGGCCUUGCGCUAUCAGAUGAGCCUAGGUCGGAUUAGCUAGUUGGUGGGGUAAUGGCUCACCAAGGCGACGAUCCGUAACUGGUCUGAGAGGAUGAUCAGUCACACUGGAACUGAGACACGGUCCAGACUCCUACGGGAGGCAGCAGUGGGGAAUAUUGGACAAUGGGCGAAAGCCUGAUCCAGCCAUGCCGCGUGUGUGAAGAAGGUCUUCGGAUUGUAAAGCACUUUAAGUUGGGAGGAAGGGUUGUAGAUUAAUACUCUGCAAUUUUGACGUUACCGACAGAAUAAGCACCGGCUAACUCUGUGCCAGCAGCCGCGGUAAUACAGAGGGUGCAAGCGUUAAUCGGAAUUACCGGGCGUAAAGCGCGCGUAGGUGGUUAGUUAAGUUGGAUGUGAAAUCCCCGGGCUCAACCUGGGAACUGCAUUCAAAACUGACUGACUAGAGUAUGGUAGAGGGUGGUGGAAUUUCCUGUGUAGCGGUGAAAUGCGUAGAUAUAGGAAGGAACACCAGUGGCGAAGGCGACCACCUGGACUGAUACUGACACUGAGGUGCGAAAGCGUGGGGAGCAAACAGGAUUAGAUACCCUGGUAGUCCACGCCGUAAACGAUGUCAACUAGCCGUUGGGAGCCUUGAGCUCUUAGUGGCGCAGCUAACGCAUUAAGUUGACCGCCUGGGGAGUCGGCCGCAAGGUUAAAAC
RNAcentral lists this ribosomal RNA (861 nucleotides) under uncultured bacterium. Its description in RNAcentral is "bacterial SSU rRNA". It matches the Rfam family "Bacterial small subunit ribosomal RNA", at positions 43 to 900 of the family's 1533-position model. The record is from RNAcentral.